This 93-nucleotide transfer RNA is filed under the name Candidatus Saccharimonadota bacterium. RNAcentral's name for it is "tRNA-Ser". It matches the Rfam family "tRNA". From Rfam's summary of the family: Transfer RNA (tRNA) molecules are approximately 80 nucleotides in length. Their secondary structure includes four short double-helical elements and three loops (D, anti-codon, and T loops). RNAcentral also lists the same sequence under 1 other name. The record is from RNAcentral. Lineage: Bacteria; Candidatus Saccharimonadota.
GGAGAGGUACCCAAGUGGCUGAAGGGGCGGCUUUGCUAAAGCUGUAGGUCGGCGAAAGUUGGCGCGAGGGUUCGAAUCCCUCUCUCUCCGCCA